Long non-coding RNA from Amblyraja radiata (thorny skate), 135 nucleotides. RefSeq lists it as uncharacterized. The transcript has 3 exons. Lineage: Eukaryota; Metazoa; Chordata; Chondrichthyes; Rajiformes; Rajidae. The record is from RefSeq and is a predicted model, not a curated record.
UCCAAAGACGUACAGGUUUGUAGGUUAAUUGGAUCCAAUUAAUUGUCUCUAGUGCGUUGGAUAGUGCUGGUGUACGGGGUGACUUACUGGUCAGCGUGGACAAGGUAGGCCGAGGGGCCUGUCUCUACGGUAUCU